UACGAAGGGUGCAAGCGUUAGUCGGAAUUACUGGGCGUAAAGCGUGCGUAGGCGGUUUUCUAAGUCUGCCGUGAAAGCCCCGGGCUCAACCUGGGAAUGGCGAUGGAUACUGGCGAGCUAGAGUACGGUAGAGGAGAGUGGAAUUCCCGGUGUAGCAGUGAAAUGCGUAGAGAUCGGGAGGAACAUCAGUUGCGAAGGCGGCUCUCUGGACCAGUACUGACGCUGAGGCACGAAAGCGUGGGGAGCAAACAGG
Molecule: ribosomal RNA, 253 nt
Filed under: uncultured bacterium
Lineage: Bacteria
Description: partial 16S ribosomal RNA
Rfam family: Bacterial small subunit ribosomal RNA
Source: RNAcentral